This 262-nucleotide ribosomal RNA is filed under the name uncultured prokaryote. RNAcentral describes it as "partial 16S ribosomal RNA". It matches the Rfam family "Bacterial small subunit ribosomal RNA", at positions 524 to 784 of the family's 1533-position model. The record is from RNAcentral.
UACGUAGGGUCCGAGCGUUGUCCGGAAUCAUUGGGCGUAAAGAGCUCGUAGGUGGUUUGUCGCGUCGUCUGUGAAAUUCCGGGGCUUAACUUCGGGCGUGCAGGCGAUACGGGCAAUACUUGAGUGCUGUAGGGGAGACUGGAAUUCCUGGUGUAGCGGUGAAAUGCGCAGAUAUCAGGAGGAACACCAAUGGCGAAGGCAGGUCUCUGGGCAGUUACUGACGCUGAGGAGCGAAAGCAUGGGUAGCGAACAGGAUUAGAUA